GAGAAUGCUCCACUUACAGCAUAAAUAUCAGACCAGAGCACAGGGAUGAAGAACUCUGACUAUAUCAGUACCUCAGGCUGUGCUUGCUACUUUUCAAUAAUCCUCUUUUGGAAGAUCUACUCUCUACUUCUAUGUGAGCCUUGAGUGAUACUAGACUUGGAUCUUAACCUAAAAGAGAGCUUCAGCACAGGGUAGGAAGGAUGUGGUACUUAGUUACUGGCCGGACUUAAACCUCAAGACACACAAAACAGUUUAAAUCUCAAGUGUUAUUCACAGGACCUUCGUAUCAGCAAUACUUCUCACUCAAAGAAACCAAGGCAGGAUACCUCAAGUCUAACACCUCCCCUUCUAUGCUCUUUAAAGACGCAAGCUUCUGCAACACAAUACAUAUUUGCAUCAACUUGGACCUGAGGUGGAUUGUGCUGUGUCUGCACGGAAGUGAUUUUUUAAAGAAAAGCUGUAAUUAAAAUCAAAUAGUGAUUAGCUUUGGAUAUUAACAACCCGUGGAACCAAUUAAAGAGCUAGAUACGCCUCUGUGGCCACACAGGUUAAAAUCAGAAGAAUCCCAAGAAAAGGGGAUUUUCCUUCCUGUUUUUCCUUCUGGCCUGGGAAGAGGUAACUGGGUGCCAGCACCGUCAGCCCCACUCUGCCUGUGGCGCUCAGGCCUGGUGCUACCAGGCAGGGGGAGGUGAGGAGAAAAUGACCCCUGGCCCCAGCAGCUGCUAACGUUCUGCAGCCAAAGCUGCGCCAUCACAGCCUCGGGAGGCCUAACCAGGCCCCUUCCCCCACCACCCCCCAGCACAGCUUUCUCAAGAAUCCCUUACCGUAGAGAGCUCUGGCCACCGCUACCAAGUCACCCAGCCAACAGGACAGGGCAGCCGUGCGGAGUGGCCCCCAGCAGCCAGAACCCCAAGAUUCUGGAUCAUGAGAUCAGCCCUGGCACAGCCGGAAUUUACCACCUUCCCUUUGGCUACUGCCCAGGAAAGACCAUCACGACCCUCUGCAGACCUGGGAGAGACAGUAACUCUUUCCUUGACAAAUUAAACUUGCAAAGCACAAAUCCUCUCUCUGAGUGAGAGAAAGGGACACACUGGAGACAUGUAGAGAGACAAUACGAAGACAUCAAAAUCAGUGAAAGAAGAAUUGGGUAUUAGAUGGAAGGAGAAUGAGAAAAUGCCUAGCUCUAGGCUGAAAUUCUUUUGUAAAACUAUGAUAAUUGACUAGGAUAUACUAGAAUAUCCCUUUAAAUUGUGGAAAACAUGCACUGGGGAGAUGAGUGCUCAGAUUGCAGAUGUAAGCAAAGACAUUUGUAAAUACUGAAGUAUUUACAAUGUAAUACUAUGUAAAUAUUGAAGUAGCUGUAAUUUUAUGAGAAGUUUGAACAGAGAGAUAAGAUGAAGAUCUGCUCCCAGGAAAAGAAGAGGAAGAUCCCUGUUCCUAAAGAUGAGGGUGAUUUUUAAAACAGAUGAAGAGAACCUUUACUUUUGAACCACUCAUCUUUAAAACGGUACCCCCCAUGAGUUUACAUGGCUGUAAUGCAGCUGGUCCAGAAGGCUGCGUGAUAUGGGAGGGACUCCACAAAUGCACAUUGCUGGGCAGCUGCUUUUGUGAGAAUUAAAAGCCGUAAGAGAAUUGUUUUUUCUUGUAGGGAAGUUAUUACGGCAGACCAAAAGAUACUCCUCUGUCUAAAAGAAUUGAUGGAAGACUGUUUUAGAGGUGGUAACUGACCUAAAGUCCAAUCUUCGUCUCUACAUAUUGUCAGAGAAAGAGAAAAGAGUUUGUGGGAAAGAGGGGAGGUGUU
Long non-coding RNA from Hirundo rustica (Barn swallow), 1801 nucleotides. RefSeq lists it as uncharacterized. Lineage: Eukaryota; Metazoa; Chordata; Aves; Passeriformes; Hirundinidae. The transcript has 3 exons. The record is from RefSeq and is a predicted model, not a curated record.